GGGCCGCUAGCUCAAUUGGCAGAGCAACGGACUCUUAAUCCGCAGGUUGAAGGUUCGAUUCCUUCGCGGCCCACCA
RNAcentral lists this transfer RNA (76 nucleotides) under Gammaproteobacteria bacterium. RNAcentral's name for it is "tRNA-Lys". It matches the Rfam family "tRNA". Rfam says of the family: Transfer RNA (tRNA) molecules are approximately 80 nucleotides in length. Their secondary structure includes four short double-helical elements and three loops (D, anti-codon, and T loops). RNAcentral also lists the same sequence under 2 other names. Lineage: Bacteria; Pseudomonadati; Pseudomonadota; Gammaproteobacteria. The record is from RNAcentral.